ACAAUCCUUGAAGCAGGCCUAGCCUGUUUCUUAUUACACCAUACCUUUGUGAUAACUUUACCGUAUCUAGCGGGUUAAAAACCGAAAGGGGUUGCAAGACCACCCGCAGUUUAUUUAAACAACCGUUUAAUGAUUAUGACAUUCAAAAUUGUUUAAAAAUUAAA
RNAcentral lists this unclassified non-coding RNA (164 nucleotides) under soil metagenome. RNAcentral describes it as "partial internal transcribed spacer 1". The record is from RNAcentral.